RNAcentral lists this transfer RNA (66 nucleotides) under Glyphotaelius pellucidus. Its description in RNAcentral is "tRNA-Leu". Lineage: Eukaryota; Metazoa; Arthropoda; Insecta; Trichoptera; Limnephilidae. The record is from RNAcentral.
UCUAAUGUGGCAGAAUAAUGCAUUGAAUUUAAGCUUCAAUAAUAAAGAUUUUUUCUUUCUUUAGAA